Molecule: ribosomal RNA, 305 nt
Filed under: uncultured bacterium
Lineage: Bacteria
Description: bacterial SSU rRNA
Rfam family: Bacterial small subunit ribosomal RNA
Source: RNAcentral
UUGUCCUACGGGGGGCAGCAGUGAGGAAUAUUGGUCAAUGGGCGGGAGCCUGAACCAGCCAAGUCGCGUGAAGGAAGAAGGUACUUAGUAUUGUAAACUUCUUUUGUCGGGGAACAAAGGCGGAGACGCGUCUCAGGAUGAGUGUACCCGAAGAAAAAGCAUCGGCUAACUCCGUGCCAGCAGCCGCGGUAAUACGGAGGAUGCGAGCGUUAUCCGGAUUUAUUGGGUUUAAAGGGGGCGCAGGCGGGAGAUCAAGUCAGCGGUAACAUGUCGGGGCUCAACCCCGGCCGGACGUUGAAAGUGGG